GAGUUUGAUCUUGGCUCAGGACGAACGCUGGCGGCGUGCCUAAUACAUGCAAGUCGAGCGAGUCCCUUCGGGGGCUAGCGGCGGACGGGUGGAGUAACACGUAGGCAACCUGCCUCUCAGAUCGGGAUAACAUAGGGGAAACUUAUGCUAAUACCGGAUAGGUUUUCGGUAUCGCAUGAUCCGAAAAGAAAAGGCGGCUUCGGCUGUCACUGGGAGGAUGGGCCUGCGGCGCAUUAGCUAGUUGGUGGGGUAACGGCCUACCAAGGCGACGAUGCGUAGCCGACCUGAGAGGGUGACCGGCCACACUGGGACUGAGACACGGCCCAGACUCCUACGGGAGGCAGCAGUAGGAAUUUCCACAAUGGACGAAAGUCUGAUGGAGC
RNAcentral lists this ribosomal RNA (383 nucleotides) under uncultured microorganism. Its description in RNAcentral is "bacterial SSU rRNA". It matches the Rfam family "Bacterial small subunit ribosomal RNA", at positions 9 to 392 of the family's 1533-position model. The record is from RNAcentral.